This 253-nucleotide ribosomal RNA is filed under the name uncultured bacterium. Its description in RNAcentral is "partial 16S ribosomal RNA". It matches the Rfam family "Bacterial small subunit ribosomal RNA", at positions 524 to 776 of the family's 1533-position model. The record is from RNAcentral.
UACGUAGGGUGCAAGCGUUGUCCGGAAUUAUUGGGCGUAAAGAGCUCGUAGGCGGUCUGUUGCGUCGGCUGUGAAAACCCGGGGCUCAACCCCGGGCCUGCAGCCGAUACGGGCAGACUAGAGUUCGGCAGGGGAGACUGGAAUUCCUGGUGUAGCGGUGAAAUGCGCAGAUAUCAGGAGGAACACCGGUGGCGAAGGCAGCACUCUGGGCUGGAAUUGACGCUGAGGAGCGAAAGCAUGGGUAGCGAACAGG